Molecule: long non-coding RNA, 3582 nt
Filed under: Olea europaea subsp. europaea
Lineage: Eukaryota; Viridiplantae; Streptophyta; Magnoliopsida; Lamiales; Oleaceae
Source: RNAcentral
AGAAGCAAAACCUUAAAACUCAUAGCUAUUUCAUGAAUUAUGGUCUAUUGUUUUUUCUUAUUGCGAAACUUUCAAUCCAUGCCUUGUGGUUCAUUGUUUCCUUUUUCAUGUGAUGUCGUUGAAGGAUAUAAAUAAGUUUUUAAUUUGAAGCAAAACCUGUAAUUCAUACCAUCAGUCACUAAUGCUAUGUGAAAGAACGUUAUCAUUUUGCAUGAAAAAUCGUUAGUCAUUGAUUAACAGAAGAAUACAAUUUUUUCUUUGUUAUAAUAUUUUAAUUUGCCCAACAGUGAAUCCGAAUUCUUCUACUUUUUGGAGAGACACAUGAUAAGCCCUUUCAUACUCAAUCCUAUCCAUGUAUGACCUAAGUAUGACGACCGAAGAAAAGGUACCUCCUUGAACCAUUGCAGACUUCAUCUCAUUUACCUCUAGUGUUAUGUUACUCAAAUAGUGCAGUGACUGACCACUGAGGCUAUUAUAAAGUGUGCCUAUCAUACGAAUCCUCAUUCAGCAUAGUUGGUAAGGAAUUAUGCCUUUAAAAUGGUUGCCCCCAAGUAGAAUAAUGCUUAAGCUCGAUAGGUAGCCAAUCCAUUGAGGGAUACUAUGAAUUUAUUCUCUAAGAUCCUACAAAAAAUAAAAUCUCUGGGAACGAAUAAAAUCGGAAGGUAAAGGCAAUAUUUUGGUCACCAAAGACCGUUACCAAAAUAUUAUGGUCCCUAAUUCAUAGUCAGUGGAUGUCUUUGGUGACCAAUGACAAGUGGUCACUGAAUUGUAUAUAUUCAAUGACCAAAACAUUGGUCAGUAACAUGCUCGGUUUAGGGUAAAAAGUUGGUUAAUUUGCAUCCUUUUGCAAUCAAAUGUUGGUUGGUAAAAGCAUUAGUAAUUAAAAAUUACCAUAUUUCAACAAACAAUAUUUGGUGGGUGAAGAUAUACUAACAACGACCAUAUAUUGGUCUUUGAAGAAUAGUUGAUAAAAAAUAAUACCUGUCACCGGGCAGAAGGCAUUUACCGGCCAACAUCUAGUUGCUGCAUACUAAUAUAGUAAAACACAAUUAACAACCAAUAUUUGGUCUGCUAAUAUUUUGAUUAAUAGUUUAGGUAGAUUUUGAGCAACCACAAGUUAUUUGCUAUAACUUAUUAAUAGUUUUUCAAUUAAUUAAUAUAAUAAAGAAUGCAUAAGAGAAAAUAACUAAAAUAAAGAAAUUAACAAUAAACAUACAACGGUAACUACAAAAGCAUAAUUACUACCAAGUUUGUUGUGAUCACUGAAACCCACCAUUCACAAACUGCAAAAAAGCGGGGUUUUUCCCCCAGGCUAUCAACGACAACAAAGUGGUUGUUGCAGGAUAUAGCUCCACUGACCAAGUUCAAUUUGGUCAUUGAAAUACUCAUUAAUUAACACGCAACACAAAGGCAGGAUUUUAGGCGGGAUCAAAUAAUCCCGCCCUAAUUAUUAGCGACGAACCAAAUGCACUCUAAUUUUCUAUAAUAAUUGUAGAAAAAAAUCCAACUUGAAUACAAUUGGCAUGAAAAUGAUCUUUUGAAUCUUAAAUAGAGUUUAUUCGGAGCAAUUGAAAAUUAACUAGAGUGCAUAUGAACAAUUAUAAGAAUUAAUAAAGCAUUUAGAAAAAAUUCAUAAAAUUUGGGAGUUCAAUUUUAGACUAGUCAGUUCGCGUCUUGGGUUUAUUCGUUAAAAUUUACUCAAUCCAACCCAACCCAACCCAACCCAAUCCAAUAAAUUAAAAAAUAUUACAGAAAAAUAGUACUUAAAAACCUAAAAAUCAAUUUCAAACUAUUCAGUUUUCAAUUUUCUUCUGUGCCUCUCGUCUCUUCCACCUCUCAUAUUCUCUCACUUCUGCUCGUGCCUCAGUCUCUCGUCUCACUUUUUUGACGUGAUUUUUGUGCUAAAUGCUUGGAUUGAAGGACGAGAUUCCCAAUUACAAGGUUUGCUGAACUUAAAAUUAAAGUUGUUGUUUAAUUAUCCAACUUGAAGGAAUUGUAUGGAGUAAGCGUAUGGUAUUGAUUUUUUUCCUGUAUAGUUGGCAAUCCCAUUCUUUAGAAUAUAUUAUAUAUCCCUUGAAAUUUGAUAUUAAAAAAUGCAUCUACCGAGAGAAUAUUCAAUUGAUCACUGGAGGUAACCUGGUUAUUGUUUAUAUCAUUAAAUCCGUAUAACAAUUACUCACCGACAGCCGGAAACAAUUCUAUAUUUUAUUAAUUCAUUUGUCCAUUCCAGUUUUACAUUAGUUUGGACGUCAAAACUCUGAAUAAUUGAAUUAAUAUUUGGGUUCUGUGUUUUGCUUUCGGGAGUUCUUAGUUGUUUGGGGGGAAAAAAAAUUAAAAACUGCUGUAUAUUCAUUUAGCUCACUUUGGUUUAAUUUGUUCAUUUUAUUGUUGUUGUUGUUUAAGAAAGUUGAUUAAUAAUAUCUAACAAAGAUGAUAACUGAUAUUAAUUGGUUAUCAACAUUAUAUCAUUAUGAAGUUGAUUACAUUUUAAUUAUAGUUAGAAUGCCUUGUGAAAUUAAUUGAUGUUAGACUAAAUAGAUACAUUACUGGAGACAAAAGAAUGGCUUAAAAUGUAUAAUUGUUCCUUUUUUCUAGACAUGGUUAGUUGCAGGAAUACUAUGUACAAAUACAAAGUUAUUUGAUGAUAAACUAAAAAUUAUUGGCAAGAUGAUGAUAUGAAUGAAUCUAAAAAAAUUUGUAAAAAAAAAUAAAUAAUGUUCCAUAAGUCUGGUGUUUAUCUUCUUAUUUUAUCAUCGCAAAAAAUGUGAUUCGUUCUAGACUGCAAUAUGUCUAACGAAUAUCGAAGAUGUAAAUAUGAAUACCAUGAGAAUGGUUUAAUGUAAAAUAGUGCACUUGCAGUACAUUAUGAGUAGAUACGAGAUUGCAAUUGGAAGUGCAUGAAUAUGAUAAAUAUUAUUACCAGUGUUUGUGCAUUGUGACUAUUAUCCUUUUGUAUAGUUUGGAGCUUCCAACCACACGUCUGUUGAAGUUUGUAAAGCACAUAUUCUUUAAAUUCAGUUUAUUUCAUGGUGGUAAUAAUAAUCUUUUUUUCUUGUGGUGAUACUAAUGCAAGUUAACGUGUUUUGUUGUUAUUUGCAAAAGCCUCAAGUAAAAUGGACAAUAUUCUUGCUUUCUUAUGGUGCAUUAAUACUUUUGUAGUUUUAUUUGUUUGAUUAGUACUUUUUGGUGGAAUAUGUUGGUAGAUAUCAAUAUGUGUGAAGAAAAUGACAUGCCAGCUCAAUUAUAUGACACAUAUAUGCUAUCAAGUCUUCCUCCACAUCCACUAUCAGCAUUAGGAAAGUGAAAAUUUAAUGGAAUAGCUUCACGUCUGUGAUUUUUUUGCAUUAUUGUGUCCAAGGGAUGACCCAAAUGUUAGGCGUAAGUGUAACUAGUAUGGAGUAGAUUAUGCUUGUGGCUAGAAGUAUGGUACAAGCACUUUGGGUACCCACUUCAUGAAUAAUUGUAAGAAGUAUUCUGGUCUAUUGCAGGACAAGAAGCAAAACAUCAUAUCUUUUGAGAAUCGAAAAGAGGGUAAUGGGAGCAAUCUUAUAGCUAUUGGUCAUAGUAAGGAAGAGGUCAGAG